Molecule: long non-coding RNA, 458 nt
Organism: Biomphalaria glabrata
Lineage: Eukaryota; Metazoa; Mollusca; Gastropoda; Planorbidae
Exons: 4
Source: RefSeq, a predicted model, not a curated record
GGAAACUAUAUUUUGCUGAAAACAUUUAACUUAAAAACACAUUGGAAAUAUCUGACCUAUCAUACAAGUGAUCUCAGAUACAAUCAAGGAGUGAGUAAAGGGCAGUUUUUUAGUUGACUACCAAGCAGAGAAGAUUGUUUGACUUUGACUAUGAAGUUUCUCUACAUCUUAAGUCUGCUCUUCCUGGCAGUCUGUUCAGUGCUCGCUGGCAAGUCUGGUCUCCGGGCGGCAGCUACGUACAAGGAAUGUAUUGAGUGGUGUGGUGAUGACAUUCCUUGCAAAAUAGGCUGCAGCAUUCAUUAUCCUAAUAAAUAAAUCUACGGUACUUUGACUUUAAGACUAUUCUCACAGCUGAUGCCCUGGAAUAAAUUGUCUCGUCCUUCUGGAGAAACUUACUGACUGUACACAAAAUGCAAAUAUAUAUAUAAGCAAAUAAAAAAUUAUAAAAUACUUUGUUA